This 253-nucleotide unclassified non-coding RNA is filed under the name uncultured Caulobacteraceae bacterium. RNAcentral describes it as "contains 16S-23S intergenic spacer region". It matches the Rfam family "Bacterial small subunit ribosomal RNA", at positions 524 to 776 of the family's 1533-position model. Lineage: Bacteria; Pseudomonadati; Pseudomonadota; Alphaproteobacteria; Caulobacterales; Caulobacteraceae. The record is from RNAcentral.
UACGAAGGGGGCUAGCGUUGCUCGGAAUUACUGGGCGUAAAGGGCGCGUAGGCGGAUGUUUAAGUCAGAGGUGAAAGCCCAGGGCUCAACCUUGGAAUUGCCUUUGAUACUGGACAUCUUGAGUACGGGAGAGGUGAGUGGAACUCCGAGUGUAGAGGUGAAAUUCGUAGAUAUUCGGAAGAACACCAGUGGCGAAGGCGACACACUGGCCCGUUACUGACGCUGAUGCGCGAAAGCGUGGGGAGCAAACAGG